This 253-nucleotide ribosomal RNA is filed under the name uncultured bacterium. Its description in RNAcentral is "partial 16S ribosomal RNA". It matches the Rfam family "Bacterial small subunit ribosomal RNA", at positions 524 to 776 of the family's 1533-position model. The record is from RNAcentral.
UACGUAGGGUGCAAGCGUUGUCCGGAAUCAUUGGGCGUAAAGAGCGUGUAGGCGGCCUUUUAAGUCCUGCGUGAAAUCCUGCGGCUCAACCGCAGACGGUCGUGGGAAACUGGAAGGCUAGAGUGCGGGAGAGGAGAGUGGAAUUCCCGGUGUAGCGGUGAAAUGCGCAGAUAUCGGGAAGAACACCCGUGGCGAAGGCGGCUCUCUGGAACGCAACUGACGCUGAGACGCGAAAGCGUGGGGAGCGAACAGG